CUGCUCUUUACUCAUGAAGACACACAUGAGAAUGGUGAAAAAAGAGAAAGGAAAAGCAAUUGCUUGUGGAUAUGAAACACGACUGUGAAAACUAGUUUUAUUUUAAGCACUUGGAGAACAUUACAACGUGAGUCAAAGCCAUUUCCUACUACCUGUAGAGCAUAGGUUUGCAGCAAGCAUAAAGAAGCAAAUGCAAAAGGAGUGAAAAUGAGAGCAGCAUGGGUCUGCUGCGUGCUGCCAUCGUGGCAAAGGUCCGCCUGGGGCAGCUAAUGAGGCUGGAAAAAGAGCUUUGGAUGUUCCACACUUAAUCUCCAUCAAAACUAGGUUUAAGGUCCUGUUUUCAUUUCGAAGGCUUCUGGCAGAGGUGGAGCUGAUGAAGCCACUGGAUUUUUUCUAUCUAGCGGAGACGUGAGGGAAGUGACUGAAGUGCUUCCAGGUGUUUUGACUUCAGGAGAGUCUUCAGCUCGCUGGUGGUUUGUGCUCCAGGUUCAGGGUUCGCCCACAGUUGCUGCCCUCCCGGGCUGCUCGGUGGCUGCUGAGUCUGUUGGCAGCCUGCAGAACCCCCGUGAGAGCCGAAAGAGCCUGGCCGUCCCACAGAGACAGUUGGAUCAGUGUAACCACUCCAGGCUUUGGUGCCAAAGUGCACGACAGCUCCAGGAAUGACCUCUGAAGAGGUAGUUUCGACCUCUGGUUUAUCUGUAAUUGCGCUGGAAAAUGAGCCUGAUGUGCUGACCUCUCAUUUUCACAUCCCCAGCUGUGAGUUUGUGAGGCAGGCUGUGUGUGUCUCAGUAUUAAAUAAUGAGAUGGAGUAACACAGGCGAUCAUCAUACAGUGUUCACACGUCUGCAAUGCACGGAGUCAGAGACGGUCCAACAAAGUGCUUCAGAAAAGGCCUCGCCUUUGGAUUUUUGUGGAGAUGUUGAUCUACAGAAAAGGUAAAUGCUUGGGAUGGAAACUGAGAUGUACUCAGCUGGUGAAAGCUUCUACCAAGCUCUUGGCAUUGACACUCUCCUCCCAUCAGAAAGACAAUACAAAUACAAACAGUUCUGGAUGAGCUGAAACUGAAGUGUGGAGCUUUUCUGGAGCAUAUUAAAAGAAAAGCCUGCUCAGACAUACCGUGGGAACUAAAGAGGCGUACGUGUCCAGCAACAGUUUGCUUCAUAGUGGAGACUGUGCAUGCAGGUCACAUUUCCCUCUGCAGUCAUCUUCUGGAUUGUGUUUAUCUAUGUGUCAGAAGUGAAAACACAGACAUAAGAACAUAAGAACACUUAACGUUUUCUUUUUUUUUUUCAUCUAGAUAAAAAGGGAAUUGAUUGACAUCUCAUAUUUCUGGGGUUUAGUGAGAUCAUAACUGCACUUUAAUUGGUUUAAUUACCAGAAUAUAAUAUUGCAGGUAUGUAAUGUAGACCUGUAAUAUAGUUAUACAAUGUACGAUAUGUGUUAUAUAUAAUAAAAUACAACAGGUCAUAUAACACAGUUUUCGUAAUAGUUAUUAGUAGGACUAUCAGUAGUGAAUAUUCAAUGACAUGAAUAGAAAUUUCCCAUGAG
Long non-coding RNA from Gallus gallus (chicken), 1548 nucleotides. NCBI's taxonomy places the organism in Eukaryota, Metazoa, Chordata, Aves, Galliformes, Phasianidae. The record is from Ensembl.